GUGUGAAUAUAAUCUCCAUUAGGAAAUUGGUUUUGGGCUUCGAAAGUAUCAAUUUUUAAGGAAAACAUAUAGACCAUCAAAUUCAUAUUCUUUAGUUUGGGCAGGGGCUGCGCGAACGCAAGCCCCCACGGCAACAAAUUAUGACAUUGACUCUCCUACAUUGAGGAGAUCAUAGGCAGGCACCCCUUCAGAGUGCAAUGAAGGUCACCAGCCCAGGCCAUGAGCCUUCUUGAUCGCUCAUAGACCCUGUCCAGGUAAGUACUUUCUUCGGUACUCGUCCUUUAUUUUUAUACCCAUACCGCCUCAUUUCUUUGACCUUAAUUGGUCGAUGUGGGACAUGCUUACUGAUCAGCAGUAAUCCAAAAAUGUAGUUCGAAGGUUUUUUUUAAGGUACUUUGGAAAGUUCAUGGAUUGUUAGACGAAUUAUUAAGUGGGGGCAGCAGUGGCAAAGCAACGAAAGCACAGGGGAGGAACCGCCCAUCUGGUUCGUCUGAGCUUGCCGAAAAAUUUAGUUAUGCAGCCUGCGUUGAGCUUGUCGGAAAGUUGGCUGAGGAGAGCCUCGAUUGACUCCAUGGUCAUUUGGGAGAGCCUUGAUUUUACCUUAGGAGUGUGAUAUCUACACACCCUAUUUUACUUCUCACAUACCUUUUUAAUUUUUGAUCUUCCUAUCGAAUGAAUUGAAGAAUAUCAACGGACAGAAAUUAUCAAGGAGUAUGUGGAUAACACAUCCCUUACUUUAAUGUUGUCGUUUUUUUUAAUAUAGAAGGAGGACAAUUAAUGGCAAGCCAUAGUUAUUUUAAUGAAACAUUGAGGAUAGAUAUGUACUAAGAGAAAGGAUCCUCGUCGGAUCCUUUUUGUAAGAAUUUUGGGGAUCUUCCAAUCAUAUUCAUUCAUCGUACAUCGUGCGGUCAGUUUUUAUCAGGUACUGUUUAUAUUUAAUUUUAAAUACAAAAUUUAGAAUAAUUUUUUAUAAUAUGAUGUAUGAUAAACAUAUGUGAUUGGAGGAUCCGACAAGGAUCCUCCUGGAUGUACUGAUACCCCUUUCCUUAUCCUUUAAAACCCCACCUCACCUGUCCCACCAAUACAACAACCAAAACAUCUAUUUUCAUAUAUUUUGACUUUUGCAAUAUAUAUUUAUGUAAUCAUUUUAUAUAAAAGAACCAAAGCAUCUAUUUCCAUCUAUUUCCGUAUAUUUUGACAUUUUGCAAUGUAUAUUUAUAUACCAUUAUUGUACAUUAAUGCAUAUUUUUGUUAACGUAUCCAUGCCGUCUUAUAUCCUAAUUUUUAGAAAAUAGUUGUAUCGUUGUAUUUGUGUCCCUAUCCAUACCACAUAGUUAUUAUCUAAAAGGAUUUGGUUGUUUUUAUUUUUCCAGAACUUUUUACCCUUUUAAAUUUCGCAACCCAGACGAUUUCUGAUUGCGCCACUAAAAGGGAUGAUUGAAAAUUUAGGAAUGUACUUAUUUAUGAAAUAUAGUUUAACAUAGUAGUCGGUUUAUUAUGUAUGCAAUUAGGAUUAAAGAAAUGUGGAAGGGUCUAACUCUAGACUAUAGUGGUUGUUGAUUAUUUGAAACCAAAAGUGUAUUUUAUUGUUUGGAAAUGAAAUUUGAAUAUUUUAUUAUUUCACAACUAGAGCCGGUGAAAACACGGAAUAAUGAAAACGAAAAAUCCUUACUCGACGGUUGGAAAGCUCUCACAGGAUGAGAGAAAGCCUCGAGAAUUGGAACUCUACCAAUCUAAUUUGAAUUAGAUUGGUGUGGAAUCAUAAUCAAAUCAUUUUGAAAUUGUUUACUGUUUUCUUGGCCACAACUAGAGCCAACAGAAACACGGAAUGAUGACAACGAAAAACCCUCACUCAACGGUGAGAAAGCUCUCACAAGAGAAGAGAAAGCCUCCAUAAUUGGAAGUCUACCCAUCUAAUUUGACCGUAUCUAAUUCAUCUCUUUGUCAGUAGUGUAUUACACUCUACAAUUUGCAAGGCAUUAUUGUUUUUCUCAGCAAGUGCUCCCCUGGACCACACACUCUAAUUUGGGCUUGUCACAUUCAAUUUUCCCUAAAUGAAAAUUCUUUGUCACUUUCAAGAUUAAAAUAUACCUACAGAGGAAGAAAUGUUCCAUAAACCAAGGAGAACAAGGACAACCUUCGUGUUUGACUGAAACUUAACAAACAAACGAAUAAAUAAAUAAGUAUAUAAAUAAACGCAGUAGUGCCAUGGAAGUGCAAGGAGCCAAAUUCCAGAAAUAACAAUACAAUUUUCUUUCUUUCUUCCUUAUCUCUGCCUGCAAAAGAUAAGGUUGGCCUUUAUUUCGAGUUUCACAUGAUGUAUUAAUAUUUAUUGACAUAAUUGAAUUGUUCAUUGGUUAUUAGCAUUUGGGUACAAAAUAUAUUGCUUGAAAUCUUGAAAAUCGGCUGCUAAAUAUUGGACAAAUUCCAGAAUUACUAUUCUGUUCUUUUUGCUCUGCUUAUGGUAGUUAACUGAUUUUUUUUUUCUUUUUUUUUUAAAGCUAAACUGCCAAUUUGCCUCCUGAACUAUCACGUGACUUUCAAUUUCUCAUCUGAACUUUUUAAUUAUAAAAUUAAGGACUUAAACUAUUUUUUUGGCCAAUUUUCCCCAUACCAUUAGUUUUUCAUAGAUUUCAUCCAAAUUAACGUUAACUCUUAUCACAUGACUCUCCUUUAUGGACAAAAACGUCACUUCGCUAAACCUUUAGACACAAAAGCUAUAGAAUCACACAUAUUUGCAUAGUUAUUUUUUAGAAAUCUAAGGUUUUUAAUUAUUUUAAAAAGUGAAGCGAUUGAACUAUCCUUGCAUGUUGUGCACAUGAUUCCAUUUAAUAGAAAUUUGGAUGGAAUGAAUGAAAAAUUAACAGCAGGAGCAAAUCGGCCAAAAAAAUUAGUUGAAGUCCUUAAUUUUCCAAUUAAAAAGUUCAGAGGUAAAUUGAAAGUUAGGUGAUAGUUCAGCAGGCAAAUCGACAGUUUACUUUUUUUUAUAAUAAUUAUUGGUUCUUCAAAAGUUAGGUUGGGAGCUUUUGGUGUUCUUCUGUGCAAACAUUCUUGUUAAAUACUUGAUAUUUUUGUUUGUUCUCUAUUUAUUUUCUGCAUAUUUUGGGGUCUUCUGGUUUUGAUUCUGUUGACUAUUUCAAGUGAUUUUCUAAGAGGAUGAAAAGAUUAAGCCUUUUCGGGUUUUCUGGUUGCUUUUGUUUUGUUGAACGUUUGAAUCUGUUUUCCCUUCUUUCACAGCUUGCUGCAACACAAGAUAAAUAUGGAAGUCAAAUUUGCAAUCAAGAACGAUGUCACCGAAGUAAGAUUUCUCUUCAUGAAAGUCAAGCAUUCAACUUUAAUUUGUUUUUAUACUUUGAUUUGGCUUACUAUGCGCUCUCGUUGUACUCUUGGUUCUUGCAGCUGAUUGGAAAUACCCCGUUGGUAUAUCUCAACAAUGUCGUGGAUGGUUGCGUAGCACGAAUUGCUGCCAAGCUGGAGUCAAUGGAGCCCUGCUCAAGUGUAAAAGACAGGCAUAUUCUUUGCACUUUUUCCUUGGGAAUAUUGGUUUUCGUUUUCCUAGUAGUACGACAGCAAUCAAAACUCAAAGAUUGAAUAUUGAAACGCGUUCAGUUUCAUCUUAAAUUGUUAUAUGCAGGAUUGCAUAUAGUAUGAUCAAGGACGACGAGGAUAAAGGUCUAAUUACGCCAGGGAAGGUUAGCUAUAAAUCUUUUCCAUAUCUGUAGAUGUUUUUUUCAGCAUGUAAUGGAGAUUUUAAUAUGCAUGAUCGAGAAUGUGGUGUGGCGUGGCGUGUUUCAUGUUUCAACGAACUAACUUCCCUUGGUUCUUAAUAUGCAUGAUCUUCGGGAACUGAAGACUGUUCUCAUUGAGGCCACGAGUGGCAACACGGGCAUUGGAUUGGCAUUCAUUGCAGCAAGCAGGGGCUACAAGGUUAAGCUAACCAUGCCAUCUUCAAUGAGUAUUGAGAGAAGAAUUGUGCUCCUAGCUUUCGGGGCUGAGGUGUACCUCACAGAUCCUGCCAAGGGUAUUAAGGGAGCUUUUGAUAAAGCCGAGGAGUUGUUGAGUGACACGCCUAAUGGUUAUAUACUUGGCCAAUUUGAAAAUCCUGCCAAUCCGAAGGUAACUUUUGGAGUAACUGUGACAAAGUCCGAAGGUAACUUUUGGAGUAACUGUGACAUGUCUAGAUGGUUGAGAGAGUUUAUGAAUCGUUAUAUGACCAUUGGUGUAGAUUCAUUACGAAACCACUGGCCCGGAGAUAUGGAGAGACACAGGAGCGAAGGUUGAUGCCCUGGUUUCGGGAAUAGGGACUGGGGGUACAGUUGCCGGUACAGGGAAAUUCCUUAAAGAGCAGAAUCCAGAGAUUAAGGUUGAGUUUUGUAUGUUUGUAUUAUAUAUACAGAUAUUACACGAGUAUGUGAGGAGAAAAGUUAUCAAUAAGCAUUUUCUUUUGUGUAGGUGUACGGUGUAGAACCAGCCGAAAGCCCAGUCUUGAACGGUGGCCAAGCUGGUGAGUUACUAUAAUGCCGGCGUUUUCCUCGUCUCUGGCUCUCUGCACUAUUGCUUUCUUUGCUCGUGAAAUUCUUUUUCUUGUAGAACAUAUUACAACAGAACAUGAAGAAGAUGCUACGUUUUUCAGAUAGCUUUCUUCGUCGUUAGAAUGUUAAACAAUUUGCAUGGUGUUACAUUAUAGUUUGAUUCGUUUAAGUGGCCCAUCUGUGGUUCAGUUUCUGUAGUAUGAAAUUACCAUUCGAUAGUAUUUGAGAUUUCGUCCUCCUAUAUUGACUGAUGCAUAUGUGGAUUUGUAAUAUUCUCGCUCGUGUUAAAGGGAAGCAUCUGAUCCAAGGAAUCGGUGCUGGUAUCAUACCUGCAGUUCUGGACGUUAGCUUGCUCGAUGAAGUUAUUCAAGUUAGCAUUCAACUAAUUUUAUUGCAUUUCCAGUUCUAUAAGUUCUUGUUUCAUUUUGGUGCCAACAACUCUAACACAAGCACGAAUUUCUCACUAACGACUGCUGAUGUUUAUGUAACAUUUUAGGUAACGAGUGAGGAAGCAAUUGACACCGCGAAGCAGCUUGCCCUGAAAGAAGGUCUUCUGGUAUGGUAUCAAUUUGUUGACAUCGCUUUCACUUUUGUGUCAGUGCUAGGAGUUUGUUACUCUCCAUUAGAUUCUUAGACGAGAAAUUUGAGACUCCUCUUGUUGCACGCAUUCAUCAUUUUUCCAUUUACGGGGCUGAUUGUGAGAGCAAAUUAACAUUGCAGGUGGGGAUUUCAUCUGGUGCCGCGGCCGCUGCUGCAAUAAAGUUGGCUAAGAGGCCGGAAAAUGCUGGAAAACAUUGUUGUAAGUCUGAUUUUGCACUGACCCUUUAGCUUAUACGAUUUCUUCGCUUAAACUUGACAUGGAAUUGUAAAUUCGUAAUCAAAUGCAAUUCUUUCAAACAGACACUCCAGGAACUUAUUCCAUUUAUUUGUUACUUGCGCAGGCUGUUUUCCCCAGUUUUGGAGAGCGUUAUCUGUCUUCUGCACUCUUUAAUUCCGUUAGGCAUGAGGCGGAAAACUUGAGUAUUUGCUGAAAGUGUUGCUGAAUCGGCCUUUUCUUAUAUCACUGUUAUUCUCUCCUUUGUAUUCAAUUUCGAACAAUCUGCUUUCGCAGUUUAGAUUAAUUUAAUUAAAAUAUCGUUCAAAUAAAGAAAUAGUCCUGCAAUUACAAAAAAAUAACAAUUAUUCAAUAUUACCACCGACUGGGAAAACUCAUAGAUUAAUAUCAAAACAUAAGAAAGCCAUUGGGUACAUUUAUGAUUCUAUAGAAAAAAUUAUCAGUAAUCUUAACAUAUUUACAUAGAAGGAAACAUAAGAGCGAUUGAUUUUGUCGAUCUACGUUUGAUUGGUACGGUCACUAUUGAAUUUGGCUUAGCUGACUCUAUCUACGAGCUUAAGCAGUGGACUUCUUGGAGAUUUAUUAGUCUAAGCAGGAAACAAUAUUUUAAAGGUCAUCAUCAAUAAUCGUAAUACAUUUACAAAGAAAGAUGCGAGCGGUUGAUUUUGUUGAUUUACGUUUAAUUGGUACGGUUACUAUUGAAUUUGGCUUUAGCUAACUCUAUCUACGAGCUUAGGCGGAGUCAGCUGGACCAGCAAACAUAUUUGUUUGUGGGUGAUUUAUGCUUUGAUUACUAGUCUAGUAACUACCUCCUCCCCGAUACAAUUUGGAGGGCUUUAAAAAAAUUUAGGAGAACGAAUUGGACUUGUAGUAGUUUAGGAGAACGAAUUGGACUCGUAGUUAGUUCACAAGGCUCUGUAAUCGUUUGGACUUUAUGUUUAGAUUGAUUCGUAAGAGUUGAACUUUAGAUUGGGCAGGGGCUGCGCGAACGCAAGCCCCCACGGCAACAAAUUAUGACAUUGACUCUCCUACAUUGAGGAGAUCAUAGGCAGGCACCCCUUCAAAGUGCAAUGAAGGUCACCAGCCCAGGCCAUAAGCCUUCUUGAUCGCUCAUAGACCCUGUCCAGGUAAGUGCUUUACUCGGUAUUCGUCCUUUAUUUUUAUACCCAUACCGCC
Molecule: long non-coding RNA, 6543 nt
Filed under: Malus domestica (apple)
Lineage: Eukaryota; Viridiplantae; Streptophyta; Magnoliopsida; Rosales; Rosaceae
Description: long non-coding RNA (MDOM_LNC004134)
Source: RNAcentral